CAAAUACUCCCUCCGUCCGAAAAUACUUGUCAUCAAAAUGGAUAAAAGGAAAUGUAUCUAGACGUAUUUUAGUUUUAGAUACAUCUCUUUUUAUCCAUUUUGAUGACAAGUAUUUUCGGAUGGAGGGAGUAGAAA
Molecule: non-coding RNA, 135 nt
Organism: Triticum aestivum (bread wheat)
Lineage: Eukaryota; Viridiplantae; Streptophyta; Magnoliopsida; Poales; Poaceae
Source: Rfam